This 253-nucleotide ribosomal RNA is filed under the name uncultured bacterium. RNAcentral's name for it is "partial 16S ribosomal RNA". It matches the Rfam family "Bacterial small subunit ribosomal RNA", at positions 524 to 776 of the family's 1533-position model. The record is from RNAcentral.
UACAGAGGUCCCGAGCGUUAGGCGGAAUCACUGGGCUUAAAGCGUGUGUAGGCGGAUCGUUAAGUACCUUGUGAAAUCCCACGGCUUAACCGUGGAACUGCUUGGUAUACUGGCGGUCUUGAGCCACUUAGGGGCUACCGGAACAAAUGGUGGAGCGGUGAAAUGCGUAGAUAUCAUUUGGAACGCCAAUGGUGAAAACAGGUAGCUGGGAGUGUGCUGACGCUGAGACGCGAAAGCCAGGGGAGCAAACGGG